This 191-nucleotide ribosomal RNA is filed under the name uncultured Staphylococcus sp. RNAcentral's name for it is "partial 16S ribosomal RNA". It matches the Rfam family "Bacterial small subunit ribosomal RNA", at positions 149 to 334 of the family's 1533-position model. The record is from RNAcentral. Lineage: Bacteria; Bacillati; Bacillota; Bacilli; Caryophanales; Staphylococcaceae.
UCGGGAAACCGGAGCUAAUACCGGAUAAUAUAUUGAACCGCAUGGUUCAAUAGUGAAAGAUGGUUUUGCUGUCACUUAUAGAUGGAUCCGCGCCGCAUUAGCUAGUUGGUAAGGUAACGGCUUACCAAGGCAACGAUGCGUAGCCGACCUGAGAGGGUGAUCGGCCACACUGGAACUGAGACACGGUCCAG